RNAcentral lists this long non-coding RNA (695 nucleotides) under Heterocephalus glaber (naked mole-rat). RNAcentral describes it as "lncRNA (ENSHGLG00100041398.1)". Lineage: Eukaryota; Metazoa; Chordata; Mammalia; Rodentia; Bathyergidae. The record is from RNAcentral.
AAGGGAUGUGUGGAGUGUGACUUGCUUCCAGGCAGACCUGAAGGGCCCCCCAGGGUCCUUGCACCCACUGUGUCCUGGGUCACAAUGAGCAGAUAACUGCAACUGAGAUGGCAGCUAUUGAGCCACACAGAACUGAGUUUCAGUCCUGGGUCCUCCAUGAAGCCGGGUGACUUGGGCAUGUCACUUGAUGUCUCUAAACGUAUCCACUCACCUACAAAGGGAGACGCUAAUGGUACUGCCGCCCAGGCCAGCUGUAAGCAUGAGACACACCACUGAGCUCAGCAUCUGGGCCCGACAAACAGUGGCUGUUGUCACAGUGCUGGAGAUGAGCCAGCAGGCUGCUGCCCAGGACCCGGGGCCCAAGGACACAUCACAUGCAGAGCACCUCAAUCAGGCAGCAGACAGAAAGCUGUUGGUUGAAUCUGGCUGCAGAAUGCACAGAUCUGGAGGGUCGACUGCGUUAGUCCUAAAAUGGAUGCCCUGUCCCCAUAGCUCACCACCCCACCAGCUCUGUGAUAGAAGAGGAAGUGGAAGCAGCAGCAACCUUCCAAGCUUUCCCAAGCUGAACCCCCAGACAGUUAUGUGACCUCACAAAGAUCACCGCCCAACACCUGAAGGGAAACUGUCCUGAGUAUCAGUUAAACAAAAAACAAGUAAAAGAACAAACGAACAAACAAAAAAACCAAACAAACAAG